RNAcentral lists this ribosomal RNA (505 nucleotides) under uncultured bacterium. Its description in RNAcentral is "partial 16S ribosomal RNA". It matches the Rfam family "Bacterial small subunit ribosomal RNA", at positions 28 to 507 of the family's 1533-position model. The record is from RNAcentral.
GACGAACGCUGGCGGCGUGCCUAAUACAUGCAAGUAGAACGCACAGUUUAUACCGUAGCUUGCUACACCAUAGACUGUGAGUUGCGAACGGGUGAGUAACGCGUAGGUAACCUGCCUGGUAGCGGGGGAUAACUAUUGGAAACGAUAGCUAAUACCGCAUAAUAUUGAUUAUUGCAUGAUAAUUGAUUGAAAGCUGCUAUUGCAUCACUACCAGAUGGACCUGCGUUGUAUUAGCUAGUAGGUGAGGUAACGGCUCACCUAGGCGACGAUACAUAGCCGACCUGAGAGGGUGAUCGGCCACACUGGGACUGAGACACGGCCCAGACUCCUACGGGAGGCAGCAGUAGGGAAACAUCGGCAAUGGACGAAAGUCUGACCGAGCAACGCCGCGUGAGUGAAGAAGGUUUUCGGAUCGUAAAGCUCUGUUGUAAGAGAAGAACGGGUGUGAGAGUGGAAAGUUCACACUGUGACGGUAUCUUACCAGAAAGGGACGGCUAACUACGUG